GUGGGGAAUUUUGGACAAUGGGCGCAAGCCUGAUCCAGCCAUGCCGCGUGCAGGAUGAAGGCCUUCGGGUUGUAAACUGCUUUUGUACGGAACGAAAAGACUCCUUCUAAUAAAGGGGGUCCAUGACGGUACCGUAAGAAUAAGCACCGGCUAACUACGUGCCAGCAGCCGCGGUAAUACGUAGGGUGCGAGCGUUAAUCGGAAUUACUGGGCGUAAAGCGUGCGCAGGCGGUUAUGUAAGACAGAUGUGAAAUCCCCGGGCUCAACCUGGGAACUGCAUUUGGGACUGCAUAGCGAGAGUACGGCAGAGGGGGAUGGAAUUCCGCGUGUAGCAGUGAAAUGCGUAGAUAUGCGGAGGAACACCGAUGGCGAAGGCAAUCCCCUGGGCCUGUACUGACGCUCAUGCACGAAAGCGUGGGGAGCAAACAGGAUUAGAAACCCGUGUAGC
This 448-nucleotide ribosomal RNA is filed under the name uncultured bacterium. Its description in RNAcentral is "bacterial SSU rRNA". It matches the Rfam family "Bacterial small subunit ribosomal RNA", at positions 354 to 794 of the family's 1533-position model. The record is from RNAcentral.